RNAcentral lists this long non-coding RNA (1975 nucleotides) under Meleagris gallopavo (turkey). RNAcentral's name for it is "lncRNA (ENSMGAG00000018701.1)". Lineage: Eukaryota; Metazoa; Chordata; Aves; Galliformes; Phasianidae. The record is from RNAcentral.
AUGGUAAGAACAGAAAUGCAAGGGCGGGCACUUUAUCCAGCAAAGCUUAGUGAGAGAACCAACAUUUAUGACAGCACUGCCAGCAGCACCCAGUCUCCCUGCAUUGCCCGAGUGGGUGGGUGCCCGUAUUUAGGACAAGGAGCAGCACGGGCAGAUAUGUUUGUCCUACCACCAUGCUGUGAACUUUUUGAGCCUUUCAUGGAAAAUUCACAUUACAAAGCAUCCCUGCACGCGAUGGGUGUGUGCUGCUACAGACCAGUGCUGCUGCAUGAUGCGCUGAGCCUCCUGUGGGAUGCAGUUGCCUUUAUCCAAAGAGAACAACUCCAGCAGCAAGAGCAGGCGGCGCUCCAGGCAGUGCCUCCUGCAGGAUCGGGAACAAGCCUGGAGCUGUCUCCAGACUGUUACUCAAAGCCAUACCGAAUAUUUGCAGCUGGAUACCUCACAGAACAUUUCUUUGCACCUUUUAAAACCUACUAUUUGCUACCAGCACUGUUCUCCAGGGGCACUGCACAGCUUUCAUGCUGGCUGGGGAGAGCAGAUGCCCUCAAGGCUUCCAGAGACUGAUCUCAGGGUCAUGAGUAAGAGCCCAUUAAGAAGUAAUAUGGAAGGAAUUGUGGCAUGAGGGCUUGUGUGCUGGCAUGGCUGUAAGGGAGCAGCUCAGCACAGGAAUGAUGCUGUGUUCUGUAAGGAUUUAAUUCUUCCUUGUAAAGUUUGAUCUGGAAGGCUCUGCCUACUUUGCCUCCAUGGUGGUGAAUUGCCACAGGCAUCUCAAGAACGCCUCAGCUCCAGGAUGAAACCACCCACCAAAGCACAUCCAGCACCAGCAGGAGCCUUGGAGGUCCUGCAACUGCAAGGAGACUGCCUUAGAACCAAGCAAAGCCAACAAAGUCUCUCCAUAAACCAGGGGCAAACUUCUUGCUGCUGCCCUGGGUCCUGUCCACCAGGUCUUCUGCUGAGCCCCCUAGCAAGGGUAUGGAAACCUGCCCGUUUCCCACUGACACUCCUUCUGGAUCCAACAGGUUUUCCCAGGGAAAGUGGAAGGCUGUAAAAUUACCAGAGGGUUGAUAUCACAUUUAUAUAUAUAUAUCUAUGUAUCUAUAUUCACACACACGUGUUCAUGUGUCCAUAUAUAUACUGACAUGUACACACACACGCAUCGUAUACGCGCUAUGCAUAGGUCUGCUGUCUGCCACUAUGUAUAACAGUUUGAUUAAACAGAAAAACAAAUCUGCCAACGCUGAUCUUCCCAUCUUUACUCAAAUUUAGCACAUGAAGAAGUUGAAACCCUUUAUGACUUUGUUUUCCUGGUUGCAAAAAGGCACUUUCUGAUGAUGUGAAGCAGCAGUUUGUUAAAAACACUGUAACUGCAGUGAUUCCCAUCUGUAGCAAGCGCUACGCAGGCACCAGUAUGAGCAGCAAUGUCACUGCCAACUCACACUGCGGAGUGUUUGGCCGUGUUUGCUUUUUGUUUCAGCGCAGAAUAAAAGAUGAAGACCAUCAGUGCUGUGCUAUGCAUGCACCUCUGCUGCCUUCGCUUCCAGUGCUGCCUGCUGUGCACUGAAAAAUUCCGGCGAGACGUUAGCUGGGAGCGUGCCGUGAGAGUUCAUCGACAUAUCAGUCACUUUCCUUUCUAAUCAAGGGAUCGGAAAUUAAUUUUUAUUAAGGAUAUUUAGUAAUUAAAGGCCGUCUGACUGCAGCACUGUGUGUGGGAGCUGCUCUCUGCUUCCAUCACAGCAGGCUGUCCAGCCUCAGCGGGAUGCAGCGGUCGCUGUCACUCACUGGAGGUUCCCGGCUGGAGAACGUGUUGGAAAGAGGAAGGAAAUGUCUUUUGUUAAUGCACCGGAAGACAGUACUAAAUUGGUCUGAAAUUCCUUUUCUCUCUUGACUUCCACAGAAAAAAUGUGUCUGUGCCCUGUGAAAUAAACUCAAGACAUACUGAAAACCAGAACCUAAAAUAAAACCCCACUUACGCUGC